UACGAAGGGGGCUAGCGUUGCUCGGAAUCACUGGGCGUAAAGCGCACGUAGGCGGCUUUUUAAGUCAGGGGUGAAAUCCUGGAGCUCAACUCCAGAACUGCCUUUGAUACUGGCGAUCUUGAGUCCGGGAGAGGUGAGUGGAACUGCGAGUGUAGAGGUGAAAUUCGUAGAUAUUCGCGAGAACACCAGUGGCGAAGGCGGCUCACUGGCCCGGUACUGACGCUGAGGUGCGAAAGCGUGGGGAGCAAACAGG
RNAcentral lists this ribosomal RNA (253 nucleotides) under uncultured bacterium. RNAcentral's name for it is "partial 16S ribosomal RNA". It matches the Rfam family "Bacterial small subunit ribosomal RNA", at positions 524 to 776 of the family's 1533-position model. The record is from RNAcentral.